This 458-nucleotide ribosomal RNA is filed under the name uncultured bacterium. Its description in RNAcentral is "bacterial SSU rRNA". It matches the Rfam family "Bacterial small subunit ribosomal RNA", at positions 30 to 483 of the family's 1533-position model. The record is from RNAcentral.
AUUGAACGCUGGCGGCAUGCCUUACACAUGCAAGUCGAACGGCAGCACGGGAGCAAUCCUGGUGGCGAGUGGCGAACGGGUGAGUAAUAUAUCGGAACGUGCCCAGUCGUGGGGGAUAACGUAGCGAAAGCUACGCUAAUACCGCAUACGAUCUAUGGAUGAAAGCGGGGGAUCGCAAGACCUCGCGCGAUUGGAGCGGCCGAUAUCAGAUUAGGUAGUUGGUGGGGUAAAAGCCUACCAAGCCUUCGAUCUGUAGCUGGUCUGAGAGGACGACCAGCCACACUGGAACUGAGACACGGUCCAGACUCCUACGGGAGGCAGCAGUGGGGAAUUUUGGACAAUGGGCGCAAGCCUGAUCCAGCAAUGCCGCGUGCAGGACGAAGGCCUUCGGUUGUAACUAGCUUUGUACGGAACGAAAGACCUUCUUCUAAUACAGAGGGUCGAUGACGGUACCGUAA